RNAcentral lists this transfer RNA (74 nucleotides) under Marinilabiliales bacterium. RNAcentral's name for it is "tRNA-OTHER". It matches the Rfam family "tRNA". Rfam says of the family: Transfer RNA (tRNA) molecules are approximately 80 nucleotides in length. Lineage: Bacteria; Pseudomonadati; Bacteroidota; Bacteroidia; Marinilabiliales. The record is from RNAcentral.
UGUCCUGUGGUGUAACUGGCAACACACUGGAGUUGAAUCCGGGGUUUUUGGUUCGAAUCCUUACGGGACAACUA